Molecule: ribosomal RNA, 480 nt
Filed under: uncultured bacterium
Lineage: Bacteria
Description: bacterial SSU rRNA
Rfam family: Bacterial small subunit ribosomal RNA
Source: RNAcentral
GAACGCUGGCGGCAUGCCUUACACAUGCAAGUCGAACGGCAGCACGGGAGCAAUCCUGGUGGCGAGUGGCGAACGGGUGAGUAAUAUAUCGGAACGUGCCCAGUCGUGGGGGAUAACGUAGCGAAAGCUACGCUAAUACCGCAUACGAUCUAUGGAUGAAAGCGGGGGAUCGCAAGACCUCGCGCGAUUGGAGCGGCCGAUAUCAGAUUAGGUAGUUGGUGAGGUAAAGGCUCACCAAGCCGACGAUCUGUAGCUGGUCUGAGAGGACGACCAGCCACACUGGGACUGAGACACGGCCCAGACUCCUACGGGAGGCAGCAGUGGGGAAUUUUGGACAAUGGGCGCAAGCCUGAUCCAGCAAUGCCGCGUGCAGGAUGAAGGCCUCGGGUUGUAAACUGCUUUUGUACGGAACGAAACGGUGAGCUCUAAUACAGUUUGCUAAUGACGGUACCGUAAGAAUAAGCACCGGCUAACUACGUG